Molecule: ribosomal RNA, 468 nt
Filed under: uncultured bacterium
Lineage: Bacteria
Description: partial 16S ribosomal RNA
Rfam family: Bacterial small subunit ribosomal RNA
Source: RNAcentral
GACGAACGCUGGCGGCGUGCUUAACACAUGCAAGUCGAACGGUGAAGCUCCAGCUUGCUGGAGUGGAUCAGUGGCGAACGGGUGAGUAACACGUGAGCAACCUGCCCCUGACUCUGGAAUAAGCGCUGGAAACGGCGUCUAAUACUGGAUACGAGAAGGGUCCGCAUGGGCACUUUCGGGAAAGUUUUUCGGUUGGGGAUGGGCUCGCGGCCUAUCAGCUUGUUGGUGAGGUAAUGGCUCACCAAGGCGACGACGGGUAGCCGGCCUGAGAGGGCGACCGGCCACACUGGGACUGAGACACGGCCCAGACUCCUACGGGAGGCAGCAGUGGGGAAUAUUGCACAAUGGGCGAAAGCCUGAUGCAGCGACGCCGCGUGAGGGAUGACGGCCUUCGGGUUGUAAACCUCUUUCAGCAGGGAAGAAGCGAAAGUGACGGUACCUGCAGAAGAAGCACCGGCUAACUACGUG